This 214-nucleotide ribosomal RNA is filed under the name Eubacterium pyruvativorans. RNAcentral describes it as "23S rRNA. Bacterial LSU". It matches the Rfam family "Bacterial large subunit ribosomal RNA", at positions 2709 to 2925 of the family's 2925-position model. The record is from RNAcentral. Lineage: Bacteria; Bacillati; Bacillota; Clostridia; Eubacteriales; Eubacteriaceae.
CUGGUGUACCAGUUGUUCUGCCAAGGGCACGGCUGGGUAGCUAAGCAGGGACGGGAUAAGCGCUGAAAGCAUCUAAGUGCGAAACCCUCCACGAGAAGAGAUCUCCUCCAUUUCGAUGGUAAGGCUCGUGGGAGACUACCACGUAGAUAGGCCGGAGGUGUAAGUAUGGUGACAUACUCAGCUGACCGGUACUAAUCGGCCGAAAGCUUGGUCA